Molecule: ribosomal RNA, 789 nt
Filed under: uncultured bacterium
Lineage: Bacteria
Description: bacterial SSU rRNA
Rfam family: Bacterial small subunit ribosomal RNA
Source: RNAcentral
AGAGUUUGAUCAUGGCUCAGGAUGAACGCUAGCGGCAGGCCUAACACAUGCAAGUCGAGGGGUAGAGGUUGCUUGCAACCUUGAGACCGGCGCACGGGUGCGUAACGCGUAUGCAACCUACCUUUUACAGGGGGAUAGCCCAGAGAAAUUUGGAUUAAUACCCCAUAGUAUUAUUUGAUGGCCUCAUCAGAUGAUUAAAGUUACAACGGUAAAAGAUGGGCAUGCGUCCUAUUAGCUAGAUGGAGUGGUAACGGUACCCCAUGGCGACGAUAGGUAGGGGUCCUGAGAGGGAGAUCCCCCACACUGGUACUGAGACACGGACCAGACUCCUACGGGAGGCAGCAGUGAGGAAUAUUGGACAAUGGUCGCAAGACUGAUCCAGCCAUGCCGCGUGCAGGAAGACGGCCCUAUGGGUUGUAAACUGCUUUUGUACGGGAAGAAUAAGGACUACGUGUAGUCUGAUGACGGUACCGUACGAAUAAGGAUCGGCUAACUCCGUGCCAGCAGCCGCGGUAAUACGGAGGAUCCAAGCGUUAUCCGGAAUCAUUGGGUUUAAAGGGUCCGUAGGCGGGCUGAUAAGUCAGGGGUGAAAGUUUGCCGCUCAACGGUAAAAUUGCCUUUGAUACUGUCAGUCUUGAAUAACUGUGAAGUGGUUAGAAUAUGUAGUGUAGCGGUGAAAUGCAUAGAUAUUACAUAGAAUACCGAUUGCGAAGGCAGAUCACUAACAGUUCAUUGACGCUGAUGGACGAAAGCGUGGGGAGCGAACAGGAUUAGAUACCCUAGUAGUCC